UUUUACUAAUAACAUGACGUAAAGUCAUGAUUUUAUUAAUGACACGGAGGCGAGUAUUAUUCCCACCCACCCACCCGUUGGGUAUGGUUUGGAUCUACAAUUAUGUCGGGGGGGGGAUCUUUUACCUCAAUGUAAGUUCACGUUUUUUCUCUUGAUUUAUGACAUAUAGUGGGGUCUAUUGACUUUCUGCUUAUGUGUUUUACAAUAGUUGGUGUAUAUAGUCCUACAGGCCAGAUUGUCAUGAUAUGUUACAUUCAGAUCCGGAGUUUGGAUUUUACCUACUAUUUCUCUGUUUUACAGCUUGAUUUCGUUGUGAUGACGUCUACCUUGUUGGAGAUUGUUCUUUCCUGAUGUGGAUAUUUGGUUUGGGUCUUCGGUUCAGAAGGCAAAGAAGAGGAAGUGGAAGUACUAAGCAAGACAUUUAUGGACUGUUCCUACUAAGCUGAUUGGCUGCCCUGUUACUAGGCAGAUCUGGU
Non-coding RNA from Pelobates cultripes (western spadefoot toad), 476 nucleotides. NCBI's taxonomy places the organism in Eukaryota, Metazoa, Chordata, Amphibia, Anura, Pelobatidae. The record is from the annotation of a GenBank genome assembly.